This 670-nucleotide long non-coding RNA is filed under the name Cricetulus griseus (Chinese hamster). RNAcentral's name for it is "lncRNA (ENSCGRG00015034533.1)". Lineage: Eukaryota; Metazoa; Chordata; Mammalia; Rodentia; Cricetidae. The record is from RNAcentral.
GGGUACAGCAACUAAUUGCCUUUGCAAGCAGCCACCUGCAGGCAUAAAUUGUGAGCUUAACAUGGCAAAUGCUGAGGGACAGCCAAGUUUCUAAGACCAUCCAGUUGUCUUGAGGGCAUUGAAUUGUUCAACAUGCUGUGGCGCAUCCAAACUCCACGUGUAAGCCAUGCCAAGGAGACCAGAGAUAGUAGAUCCCAGAGGCUACCAAUGAGGAAGUGCUGUUGGGAGAUGUCCCACCAAAGGGAAAAGGCAGAUAGGGAAAGAUAAACGGAUGAAAGACAGUGUUGUGGAGAAGCAGUGUGGUUGUCUCGAGCAACAAUAAGCUCCGCAUCAUUCAUCACAGUUGCUCUCCAGACAGUCUUCCUCACAAAACCAUCUCUGAGACUACGUGUGUAUUGCCCUAUCCAACAUCAUACCAGCAUAGACAUGAAUUCAUUUCUGUGUGAGUGGAAGGUGACAACAUUGGCAAAUUAGUUUCAUUCUUGUGGAAAGGGUGCUGAGAAGUGUCUGGGAAGGCAACAAGUUAUUUUCAUCAAUUUACUGGCAUAAAAAGAUCUUAUAGGUCCUCUGAGAUGCCCAGUGACUACUUUUUUCACUGAUACUUGUUUCCAGCAAGUAUCAGAAGACUACAAAGAACUCCUCCCAGGAAAGUGAGAGCAACAUGUGGGGG